RNAcentral lists this transfer RNA (70 nucleotides) under Cavia porcellus (domestic guinea pig). It matches the Rfam family "tRNA". From Rfam's summary of the family: Transfer RNA (tRNA) molecules are approximately 80 nucleotides in length. The record is from Rfam by way of RNAcentral. Lineage: Eukaryota; Metazoa; Chordata; Mammalia; Rodentia; Caviidae.
GGGGAUAUAACUCAGUGGCAUGAGUGCCUGCCUGGCAAGCACAAAGUCCUGAGUUUGAUUCUUGGUACCA